AUUGAACGCUGGCGGCAUGCCUUACACAUGCAAGUCGAACGGCAGCACGGGAGCAAUCCUGGUGGCGAGUGGCGAACGGGUGAGUAAUGUAUCGGAACGUACCUUUCAGUGGGGGAUAACGUAGCGAAAGUUAUGCUAAUACCGCAUAUUCUGUGAGCAGGAAAGCAGGGGAUCGCAAGACCUUGCGCUGAUUGAGCGGCCGAUAUCAGAUUAGCUAGUUGGUGAGGUAAAGGCUCACCAAGGCGACGAUCUGUAGCGGGUCUGAGAGGAUGAUCCGCCACACUGGAACUGAGACACGGUCCAGACACCUACGGGAGGCAGCAGUGGGGAAUUUUGGACAAUGGGCGCAAGCCUGAUCCAGCCAUGCCGCGUGAGUGAAGAAGGCCUCGGUUG
This 393-nucleotide ribosomal RNA is filed under the name uncultured bacterium. RNAcentral describes it as "bacterial SSU rRNA". It matches the Rfam family "Bacterial small subunit ribosomal RNA", at positions 30 to 425 of the family's 1533-position model. The record is from RNAcentral.